Molecule: ribosomal RNA, 493 nt
Filed under: uncultured bacterium
Lineage: Bacteria
Description: bacterial SSU rRNA
Rfam family: Bacterial small subunit ribosomal RNA
Source: RNAcentral
GACGAACGCUGGCGGCGCGCCUAACACAUGCAAGUCGAACGGGGUCCUUUUAGAAAGCUUGCUUUCUGGCUGGACCUAGUGGCGGACGGGUGAGUAACACGUGAGCAACCUGCCCUGGAGUGGGGGAUAACAUUCGGAAACGGAUGCUAAUACCGCAUAACAUCCCGAAGUGGCAUCGCUUUGGGAUCAAAGGAGUAAUCCGCUCUUGGAUGGGCUCGCGCCCGAUUAGAUAGUUGGUGAGGUAACGGCUCACCAAGUCUGCGAUCGGUAGCCGGACUGAGAGGUUGAUCGGCCACAUUGGGACUGAGACACGGCCCAGACUCCUACGGGAGGCAGCAGUGGGGAAUAUUGGGCAAUGGGCGAAAACCUGACCCAGCGACGCCGCGUGGAGGAAGAAGGUUUUCGGAUUGUAAACUCCUGUCUUCGGGGAAGAUAAUGACGGUACCCGAGGAGGAAGCCACGGCUAACUACGUGCCAGCAGCCGCAGUAAAAC